RNAcentral lists this long non-coding RNA (3839 nucleotides) under Octopus sinensis (East Asian common octopus). RNAcentral describes it as "uncharacterized LOC115231077". The record is from RNAcentral. Lineage: Eukaryota; Metazoa; Mollusca; Cephalopoda; Octopoda; Octopodidae.
CUACAUAAAAACAGUCAAUUGGAAAUAUAUUUGAAAAAAGUCAAUGUUUUAAGUAUUUUAUUGUUCACAGCGGUGCGGUUGUUGAUCCAGUUGUAGUAAGCAACUGAUCCUACCCUUAAUCCCUUAAUCCAGCCGGAGUUCUCAGGGCACAGCAGAAAAAAGUUCCUGCCCAUGAACGUGACUGGACGCAAUCCGAAUUAUUACGCAUGAUUCAGGCGAAUGAAGAGGUCAACGAACCGAAAUCUCCAGCCCAGGCUCCCGUGCAGAGCACUCCACGACCUCGUGUAAGCCCACCGAAAAAAGCGGCCCAGCCACCACCACCACCGUCACCUAAACCCGUCAACGUUUCGCCUGUACCUCCAGCCUAUAUAGACACGGGUGUUUCCGACUUCUAAAAGCUAAAUUUUAUCUGAAAUAUUAGAACGAAGUGCCUUAUAUUUUCUCUUCAUUUUUUUUUUUGCAAAAACCCACCCUCUUCUAUGCCUUCUUCUUGUUCUUGUUGUUGGCCUACUAUGUAUGAUAGGACAAACACCACACAUAUUCAUAUACAUAUAAAAGUAAUAUAAUAUAUAAAUUAUAUAUUUAUACAUGCAAUAUGCUAUAUUUAUUUACAUAUAUAUAUAUAUAUGAAAAAAUUAACAUUUAUAAAUAAGCUGAGAUAAAUUCGCUCUAAAAGAUAUAGAAUAUGAUACACUGAUAUAAAUUAUAAAUACCAUAAACCAUAUAAUAUACGUGAUAUGAUAAGGAUAUAAAUGUUAUAUGGUUAUAUUAAUAGGAUAUGGUGUGGUAUUGAUAUAAAAGUCGAUGUGUAGAUGCAUAGUAAAAUAAUACUUCGCCAUAUUGCACCAUGAAUCUUGUUAUAGAUAAUACCAUCUAUAAUAUAGCAAUAAAAUAAAAUAGGAAAAUAUGAUAACUAACGUAAAUAUGUCGUUUAUUUUUUGUAAAGAAUAGAUUUAUAUAGGGGAGCUGACUAUUAAUUCAGCGGAGGAGGGCACUCGGAAAGAUAUUUAGCAAGUUAACACCAUUAAUGUAGACGUUGACGUGGUGAUGUACGCAAAACGACGAGCUAUCGAGAAAGAAUGGACAUAAAAGACCAAGCCUAUUAUUAUUAUUAUUAGUAUCAUUAUUAUUUUUAUCAGUAAUAAUCGUAAUAAUAAUAGCUGUAAUAACAACAGCAAUAAUACUAGUGACAAGAAUAAUUUAAAAAAACUGAUAUAUAGUCAGAUCAAUAAUGCUUUAUUCGUCACUAAAACAUCUGGACAAAGGUUAGAACUAAUAAUUUUACAAAUGAUAAUAAUAAUACUAACAAUAAGGGCAACAACGACAUCAAGAAUGCAAGGUUUUUUUUCUCUUUCAAUGUUUGCUAACAUAGGUGGUGCGUGAUCGACAGCUCUAACCACUUCCGGUAUGGUUACAACAACGGCAGGUGUUAAGGUAGUUUCAGAAGCAAAAAUAAAAAAAAUAAAAAAUUGAACAACUGUUUAAUGGGAAUUAUUUCAUAUUUAUCGAAAUUCUAGCUCUUUAUAUUUUCUAACUUGAAAUAAGAGCUAUUUGCCCGAUUGUCUUCCAUAUUGAAAUUAAAUUUUCGAUAUAUACUCACGCAUAUACGCACGUAUAUAUAUAUAUAUAUAUAUAUAUAUUGGCGUUGACGACGAAAAAUAGUCAUGUGGAUGUGUUCCAAGCUAGUCUGCUAGUAUUUUGUUAUCGUUGUAAUGGCAAAAGGCACAGCAAACAUAACAGAGAGGAACUCAUAUAUAUAUAUAUAUAUAUAUAUAUAUAUAUAUAUGUAUAUAUGUAUAUAUAUAUCCAGUAGAUUAUGAAAAUAAAAACGACAAAAGAAAGCCUGAUAAAUUAUCGUUUGUGGGACAACAAAGUAUAUUAAUAAUUGAGAAAUAAUGUGAUUUUCGAUAAAAAAAAAUAACAAAAAACAUUAUUAUUGGUUUCACUGAAAUGGCAAAUAAAUAAAAUGAUCGAAAUAAAAAUAAACAAAACUAAAAGGGAAAUAAAUCCCUGAACAAAACCCACAAGAUAAAUUAAAUAUAAACAACAGAAGUUUAGCCCCCCCCCCCAAACCUAUUUGAAUGAACGGUUGAUUAAAUAUAUAUAAAACCGUUAAGUCACAAUAAAAUAUUUAUCUUCUUUUAUUACGUAAGAUUCAAAGGAAAAAAAAAGCAAACAAAAACAAUAAUUUGGUUGUGUUUCUCUUAAAUAUCUUAUAUACACAUAUGGAAUCAUAUGUCGUUUAUUUGUUGGGUUGAUUGAUUGGUUGUUUUGUUGUUGUUGUUGAUUUUUUUCUAAAAAUAAUUUAAAUUAAAAAGAACCCCUACAAAAAAAGAUUGUUGAUUUAAUUUAAAAAAUUAUUAGAAAUUUAUAUAUUUUAAUUAUUACAAAAUGAUUCAAUUAUAUUGUAUACAAAAUGAUAUGCAAUGACUAAAUAUGGCCAAGCUGGUUUCUUUUUCUUUCAAAGUUAUUAUUCUAAUCAUAUUUACAAUGGGAAACUUGGUGCAGAGAAGUCUAUGUAGAGACAUAUUUAUAUCCCGAUGAAAAUAAAAUUGGCAGAUCGUGGGGAAAAAAAAAGCACGCAAAAAAUAAAAACGAAAAAGGAAGGAAACAUGGUGGUUAUGUGGAGAGGAAUAAUUCACUGUUUCAGUGUAGAGCAGACGAAGAUAUUUUCCGGUCCAAAACAUGAACGCACACUAAAAAUAAUGAAGGAAAAAUGAAUGAAAAGAAGGAAUGAUAUAAUAUUAUAUGCUUUUAUUUUGAUUUGAUGAUAAUCUAGAAUGAUGCCCCAGUAAAAUAUCAACAACAACAACAGUAACAAUAUAAAGCAAUAAUACUAAUGAGGUACAAUCGGAUGUUUCUCUUCAAAUAUCCGCCAUGUUUGUUAUUUCAAAUAAUUUGUAUAACUUGUCACUAAAAAGAACGACCAAAACACAGAUUUAUAAAAAUUACUCAACUGUGCAUGCACCUACGUCAUUUUUAUCCAAUGGCCGAUAAAAUUAGAUAUGAUUAAAAGACCUGAUAACAGAACAAGAGAAACAGUGAAUACGAAUAACGAAAAAGCCGCACAAAUUAAAUAAAAGAAAAAAAUUGCUUUAAAGGAGAAAAUCACAAACCAUCGAGAAAAUAUCGAGGUUUAUUUUUUAACUAAUAUUGUGUGAUAUAUCCAAAGGAUUCUUUAUCCCUUUCUUUAAUCCUUCCAAGUCUUCCAAGACCUAGCUUAUUUAUUGAUCUAUUGAUUGAUUUAAUCAGAACAGUAUUGGCCUUAAUGUACGAGUAUAUACUCUGUAGGACUGUUAAUGAAAUAAUGAUAUUUCUUUACUAGUUAUCUUUUCAAGGCAUCUUAUGUUUAAUUGUGCAAGUAGCAAUCAUUAAAGUACAACUAAUUGGUACAAAAACAAUAUCAACUAAACAAUUAAAAUCUAGAUUGCUACCUGAUGCAUGUCACGUGAUAAAGACUUGUUGAAUGAACUAUCGCUGCUACCACCCGCCAUAUAUUUUUUUUCCUAUCCUUUUCUUUGUUAAAAUUGUUUAGUAAAAAACACGAAAAGAAAAUCAAAAAAGAACAAUCGAUACAGGCCUUCAUUUGUUGCUUGAUAAUGUGUUAUUCUUCCCAUCUAAACAAAUGAAACCCAACCAAGGAAAUGAAGGGAAAACGAAUUUUUUUCUUUUCCUCCAGAGAAGAAAGGGAAAUGUGUUUGUCAUAUCGGCUGAAGCAACAAUUGAAGACUUACUUUCUUUGAUAAUUUAUUAUUUUCUUCAAUUUUUUUUUUUAGAUGAUUCAGUCUGGUUUAUUACUUUUAUAGACGAGACAAAUAAAGCCCCCUUUUUUGACAACA